Molecule: unclassified non-coding RNA, 238 nt
Filed under: Hevea brasiliensis (rubber tree)
Lineage: Eukaryota; Viridiplantae; Streptophyta; Magnoliopsida; Malpighiales; Euphorbiaceae
Source: RNAcentral
GGGUCAUUUAAGAUGGGUUGGUCAUGUACAAUGCAGAGAAUCAUAAGCCUCAGUGUGGAAGUGUGAUAAUUUAGUAGGGCAAGGAGUGAGAAGGGGAAAGAGAAGGCCUAAGAUGACGUGGAGGAAAGUAUCACAGGAUUUAUAAGUCUUGGAUAUUGAGGAGAACCUGAUGUCUAACAGAGUUGAAUGGCGAAAAAAGAUCUAUAUAGCUGAACCCAACUAGUUUGGAAUUAAGGCU